Molecule: ribosomal RNA, 467 nt
Filed under: uncultured bacterium
Lineage: Bacteria
Description: partial 16S ribosomal RNA
Rfam family: Bacterial small subunit ribosomal RNA
Source: RNAcentral
GACGAACGCUGGCGGCGUGCUUAACACAUGCAAGUCGAACGGAAAGGCCCUGCUUUUGUGGGGUGCUCGAGUGGCGAACGGGUGAGUAACACGUGAGUAACCUGCCCUUGACUUUGGGAUAACUUCAGGAAACUGGGGCUAAUACCGGAUAGGAGCUCCUGCUGCAUGGUGGGGGUUGGAAAGUUUCGGCGGUUGGGGAUGGACUCGCGGCUUAUCAGCUUGUUGGUGGGGUAGUGGCUUACCAAGGCUUUGACGGGUAGCCGGCCUGAGAGGGUGACCGGCCACAUUGGGACGGAGAUACGGCCCAGACGCCUACGGGAGGCAGCAGUGGGGAAUAUUGCACAAUGGGCGGAAGCCGGAUGCAGCAACGCCGCGUGCGGGAUGACGGCCUUCGGGUUGUAAACCGCUUUCGCCUGUGACGAAGCGUGAGUGACGGUAAUGGGUAAAGAAGCACCGGCUAACUACGU